This 500-nucleotide ribosomal RNA is filed under the name uncultured bacterium. RNAcentral describes it as "partial 16S ribosomal RNA". It matches the Rfam family "Bacterial small subunit ribosomal RNA", at positions 29 to 523 of the family's 1533-position model. The record is from RNAcentral.
AUUGAACGCUGGCGGCAUGCCUUACACAUGCAAGUCGAACGGUAACAGGGAGCUUGCUCCGCUGACGAGUGGCGAACGGGUGAGUAAUGCGUCGGAACGUGCCGAGUAGUGGGGGAUAACGCAUCGAAAGGUGUGCUAAUACCGCAUACGAACAGAGGAUGACAGUGGGGGGCCUUCGGGCCUCACGCUAUUCGAGCGGCCGACGUCUGAUUAGCUAGUUGGGGAGGUAAAGGAUCACCAAGGCCACGAUCAGUAGCGGGUCUGAGAGGAUGAUCCGCCACACUGGGACUGAGACACGGCACAGACUCCUACGGGAGGCAGCAGUGGGGAAUUUUGGACAAUGGGCGCAAGCCUGAUCCAGCCAUGCCGCGUGUCUGAAGAAGGCCUUCGGGUUGUAAAGGACUUUUGUCCGGGAGCAAAUGCUGGUGGCUAACAUCCACCGGAGCUGAGAGUACCGGAAGAAUAAGCACCGGCUAACUACGUGCCAGCAGCCGCAGUAA